Molecule: ribosomal RNA, 271 nt
Filed under: uncultured prokaryote
Description: partial 16S ribosomal RNA
Rfam family: Bacterial small subunit ribosomal RNA
Source: RNAcentral
UACGAAGGGGGCUAGCGUUGCUCGGAAUUACUGGGCGUAAAGGGAGCGUAGGCGGACAUUUAAGUCAGGGGUGAAAUCCCGGGGCUCAACCUCGGAAUUGCCUUUGAUACUGGGUGUCUUGAGUAUGAGAGAGGUGUGUGGAACUCCGAGUGUAGAGGUGAAAUUCGUAGAUAUUCGGAAGAACACCAGUGGCGAAGGCGACGCACUGGCUCAUUACUGACGCUGAGGCUCGAAAGCGUGGGGAGCAAACAGGAUUAGAUACCCCUGUAGU